UUUCCGUAGGUGAACCUGCGGAAGGAUCAUUACUGAGUGAGGGCCCCUCGGGGUCCAACCUCCCACCCGUGUUUAACGAACCUUGUUGCUUCGGCGGGCCCGCCUCACGGCCGCCGGGGGGCAUCUGCCCCCGGGCUCGCGCCCGCCGAAGCCACCUGUGAACGCUGUCUGAAGGCUGCUGUCUGAGAUAAUUAUUAAAUUAAUUAAAACUUUCAACAACGGAUCUCUUGGUUCCG
This 236-nucleotide unclassified non-coding RNA is filed under the name plant metagenome. RNAcentral describes it as "partial contains small subunit ribosomal RNA, internal transcribed spacer 1, and 5.8S ribosomal RNA". The record is from RNAcentral.